CCUGACUGCUAUCGGAUUGAUACUAAGCCAUGCGAGUCAUUGUAGCAAUACAAGGCAGACGGCUCAGUAACGCGUAGUCAACCUACCCUAUGGACGGGAAUAACCUCGGGAAACUGAGAAUAAUGCCCGAUAGAACACUAUACCUGGAAUGGUUUGUGUUCCAAAUAAUUUAUUGCCGUAGGAUGGGACUGCGGCCUAUCAGUUUGUUGGUGAGGUAAUGGCCCACCAAGACUAUUACAGGUACGGGCUCUGAGAGGAGUGGCCCGGAGAUGGGUACUGAGACACGGACCCAGGCCCUAUGGGGCGCAGCAGGCGAGAAAACUUUGCAAUGUGCGAAAGCACGACAAGGUUAAUCCGAGUGGUUUCUGCUAAAGGAACCUUUUGACAGUCCUAGAAACACUGUUGAAUAAGGGGUGGGCAAGUUCUGGUGUCAGCCGCCGCGGUAAAACCAGCACCUCAAGUGGUCAGGAUGAUUAUUGGGCCUAAAGCAUCCGUAGCCGGCUCUGUAAGUUUUCGGUUAAAUCUGUACGCUUAACGUACAGGCUGCUGGGAAUACUGCAGGGCUAGGGAGUGGGAGAGAUAGACGGUACUCGGGAGGAAGUGGUAAAAUGCUUUGAUCUCUCGAUGACCACCUGUGGCGAAGGCGGUCUAUCAGAACACGUCCGACGGUGAGGGAUGAAAGCUGGGGGAGCAAACCGGAUUAGAUACCCGGGUAGUCCCAGCUGUAAACUAUGCAAACUCAAUGAUGCAUUGACUUAUGGUCAAUGCAGUGUUGCAGGGAAGCCGUUAAGUUUGCCGCCUGGGAAGUACGUACGCAAGUAUGAAACUUAAAGGAAUUGGCGGGGGAGCACAAGCAAGGGGUGAAGCCUGCGGUUC
Molecule: ribosomal RNA, 876 nt
Filed under: uncultured archaeon
Lineage: Archaea
Description: bacterial SSU rRNA
Rfam family: Archaeal small subunit ribosomal RNA
Source: RNAcentral